Long non-coding RNA from Bos indicus x Bos taurus (hybrid cattle), 3348 nucleotides. The record is from Ensembl. NCBI's taxonomy places the organism in Eukaryota, Metazoa, Chordata, Mammalia, Artiodactyla, Bovidae.
CUCACAGGCUGGCAGGCAGCCUGUGAUGGGGCCCUGCUCAGAAGACCCCCGCCUCUGCGGGGCCUCCAGGCUCCUAGGAUUCACCAGCUUCCUCCUCAGUGUCUGCUGCACUGGGGUCGAGAAUUCUGCAGCACCUGGUCCUGGAGUUCAGGAUUCUGGACCUGUUACCCUGCAGAGGAUCCGAGGAGGUUCUGUGUUGUUUCAUGUGACCAAGAAUCAAAAAGCUGACCCAGAGGAGGUCUCAUGGGGCUUUGGCCCUGAGUUAAACUACAGCGUCAUGCUGCGAGUCCACCGUGGGGCAGACACCCCAACCUGGGUCAGCCUCCAGGACAAGUACCAGCACAGGGUCCAUGUGCCUAACAUCCUGUUCCUGAGGAUUGAUAACCUGACCCUAGAGGACAGUGGGCAGUACCGGGCUCGAGCCAGCUUCACUAGAGGAAUAGAAUUAAACCAGGUUUUCCUCCUCACUGUCUAUGAAACUGUACCCGUUCCUAAGAUCCUUGUCAAGUCAGCAUCCUUCACACCAGGCUGGUGCAAUGCCACUCUGGAGUGCACAGCCCCAGGGGAUACAAAGGACCUGAAGGUGACCUGGGAGAUCAAGGACCUUCCCAGGGAGCUGGAGCAGAGAGUGACAUCAGAACUACCCUCCAAGUCCUGGAACCUGACUCUGUGCCUGCCUGUGAGCCAGCCCAGUGGCAGCUUGACCUGUAUGGUCAGCAACCAGGUGGACCAGAAAACUGCCACCUUAGGCCUUGGAGAAGUCUGUGUCUCUGAUUCACCUGGAAACAAUGAUGAUAAGACCCUGUCAGGCAUCAUAGGGACUGUCGUGAUUAUCCUGUUGAUCUGCGUAAUUGGACUGUUCCUUUGGAAGACCUGUGUGAAGAAGAGGAAGAUGACGACUGGAAGAGGUGUAGAAGUUCAGGAGGAUCAGAGGGACAAUGAUGGUGGCCUCCACUAUGCGGAGCUGAGCCAGCAGGAGUCUGCCGCACACAAGGGUGUUGAUAAACAACAUUUAGAAGAAAAGGCGUCUAGUACUGUCUACAGUGAGGUCUGCAAGCCAGAAAGGGAGGCCAUGAAGAUACUUUAAUUGGAGAAAGCAGAAGAAUCGGAACUACUAGGACACCUCCACUCGGCGCUUGAUUCCUGAAGACAUCUGCGUCUCCCAGCUCUGGUCCAGCUCCAGCUGCCCCGUGACCCUCCCGCCCUUAAGUCCCUGUGCGCAUGUGGCCUUCUCACAACCUGUGUCGACUUCCCCAGCUGUCUUCCCACUCAAGAUCCUCACCCUGCAGGAUGAGAGCUCUUCUUCCAUCACUGACCCAGCGCCUAGCCCCUCUUCUCCUGAAACUUCUCAAAGAGGACCUUCCUGCACAUGAUAAUCCCCACAGCCUCUGCUGUGCGGUUGAUGUGUAUCUUUCUCAGCACUCAAGCCCAGGCGUGGAGACAGUUGACCAGACUACAGAGGACAAGAUAGGCCACACUGGAAGCCGAGGUACCACUGGACUACUUGGGGAGCACUGACUUGGGGCAGGUGAGCAGAUGCUGCUGGUGUGGAUUCCAAAGGCCUUCUCAUCUGAGCUCUUCAUCUUCAUGGUAGGACCUAAGCGCCCAGGGCAUGGAAUUCUCCUGCCAGCCUGAUGGAACAUUUUGUUUGCUUCUGUCAUCCAUCUCUCUUUAUGCCCCAUUUCUUAUUAACCAUCCUUCUGAUUGACAUUUUUUGGUUAUGGGCAUAUGUAAGAAUAAGACUUUCCUUGAUAUCAAUGGGAAUUGCUGUAUCUGUCCUGUGAUCCAGAUAUAUAGUGUUUUAUUUAAUCUCUAAAAGUAAAAAAUAAUCCCUCUAAAAUACCCAUCCUAUUUCUCAUUUCCAAAUUGUAGUUGAGGAUGUGGAGGGUGAAGAUACUCCCUCAAUACACCAUUUGUCACUAGAUGAGCCACCGAAUUGCUUUUGCUUUUCACCCAACAAACUGGUUAGUGGGAUCCCAUGGCUCUCAAGGCUGGAAGCGUCACCUAAUUUAUCACUUACCCUUUCAGCAAGAUUUCACAUUUAAAACAGCAAAGCAACAAUAAUAACUAGAGAAACUCUUAAGAGAAUGUAGUUCUUAAUUACUGUCUAUUUAAUUUUAAAUCUUCAUUAAAUGGAUACUUUCUAGAAAAAUAUGAAUUGAUAAAAUUAAUCUAAGUGUGGGCACACUCACUUUGCUCGGCAUGCUUUUGAUCCCAAACAGAGCUCCCCAAGGUGGCAGUUUUCUGGUCCACAUGGUCACUGACCACACAGGUGAGACUGGAGUUGGGGCUGGCUCAGGGGCAGACUCAGAGCUUGGUCCCAGGUUCUUCUGCUCCAGCUCCCUGGGGGGCCCUUGAUUAUCCAAGUCAUCUUCAGGUCCUCUGUGGCCCUGUGGUGCAGGGUGACCAUUGCACCAGCCUGUUGUGAUGGACUGUUACUCAGCCAGGAUCUGGGAAAGGGGCAAGAGGGAACAAAAGCUUAUUAUUGUAUUUGGAGAGACUGUUACUCACCCAAUAUCAUGCCGUUCUGCGCAGUCAACUGGGAAGACAGGGCUUUUCACAGCUAAAGAAACUGAGGCCUUAGAGACGUGAAAUAGUUUUCAAAAUUAUAUAAUGAGAAAGCAGUACCAAAUCUCAGUUUAGAGAAGUGUGGACAGCCAGUCUGUCAGCUCUUUUUCAUCUGUGGUACCCCCCAACUGUCACCACACACAGCUGAAAUCACAUGUUUGCCCUCCACAUGCAUUUUCAGAAACUUUAUGGGACUUUCCUGGUGCUCUAGUUGCUUAGACUCUGCACUCCCAAUGCAAGGGGUCCAGGUUUGACCCUGCUCAGGGAACUAGAUCCCACAUGCCACAACUAAAGAGCCCACAUGCUGCAACCAGGACCUGGCAUAGCCAAAUACAUAAAUAUUAAAAAAAAUUAAUAAAAUAACAUAUGGGGAAAUUUGUUGUUGUUGUUCAGUCACCAAGUCAUGUCUGACUCUUCAUGACCCCAUGGACUAACUGCAGCAUGCCAGGCUUCCCUGUCUCCCACCAUCUCCUGGAGUUUGCCCAGGUUCAUGUCCAUUGAAUCAGUGAUACCAUCCAACCAAUGGGGAAAAUACAUUUAUAUUAACAAAUAAAAGAUUUGGGAGAAUGGCAUUGAAACAUGUAAAAUAUCAUGUAUGAAACGAGAUGCCAGUCCAGGUUCGAUGCACGAUACUGGAUGCUUGGGGCUAGAGCACUGGGACGACCCAGAGGGAUGGUAUGGGGAGGGAGGAGGGAGGAGGGUUCAGGAUGGGGAACACAUGUAUACCGGUGGCGGAUUCAUUUUGAUAUUUGGCAAAACUAAUACAAUUAUGUAAAGUUU